Mangifera indica (mango) is the source of this 222-nucleotide long non-coding RNA. RefSeq lists it as uncharacterized. NCBI's taxonomy places the organism in Eukaryota, Viridiplantae, Streptophyta, Magnoliopsida, Sapindales, Anacardiaceae. The record is from RefSeq and is a predicted model, not a curated record. The transcript has 3 exons.
AGAUGGUAUAAGGAAAAAAGAACGGCCGACUGAUAAAGGUGUUUCUUGGCUGGUUAAGACUCAGUAUAUUUCUCCUCUUAGCAUGGAAUCAACAAGACAGUCUUUGACUGAAAAACAAGCAAAAGAACUGAAAGAGAAGAAGGGAGGCCGUAACAUUUUAGAAAACCUUAAUGAUAGGGACAGACAGAUUAAGGACAUUGAAGCAUCAUUUGAGGCAUCAAG